Molecule: long non-coding RNA, 202 nt
Filed under: Canis lupus dingo (dingo)
Lineage: Eukaryota; Metazoa; Chordata; Mammalia; Carnivora; Canidae
Description: lncRNA (ENSCAFG00020002808.1)
Source: RNAcentral
CGGCCCGCCGCCAUGUUGUUCCCUUGGUGCUGGACGUGAGGAGCCGGAGUUGGGCUGGAGCGGCGCUACGGCCUCGUGCCCGCGGGUGCCCGGCCUCGUCUCCUCUUUGCACCCAGCCGGGCCGGCCGGGAGCUCCCGGGCGUCCUGUGUGCGGCCGCGAGAAACUUCCUGCACUCCUAUUAUGAGCCUGGCACUGUGGUGA